Molecule: long non-coding RNA, 4149 nt
Organism: Cavia porcellus (domestic guinea pig)
Lineage: Eukaryota; Metazoa; Chordata; Mammalia; Rodentia; Caviidae
Exons: 4
Source: RefSeq, a predicted model, not a curated record
AGGACCUGCGGGCCAGAGAGAAAGACAGACGUGCAGCCCGUGACGGUUUGAGCCUUAGCACAGAAAAGAACAAGAUAUAGUGAGCCAGGUGUUCAGCUGCGGGAGGAGGCGAAACAUCUGAAUACAAGUAGGAUCCAGCACUCGGGAGGCCGAGGCAGGAGGAUGGCUGCGAGCUCAAGGCCAGCCUGGGCUGCGCGGGGAGCUCCUGUCUCAACAAUACUGGCAACAGCAAUAGCAAAACAAAAACAGAAGGCAAGCAGACAUGGGAACAAGGCUUCGUGAAAAUCACUGGAAGCAACAACACACAGCAGAAAUGGAACUGCGGGUCUUGCUAUGCAGUUCAGGCCAGCCUUGAACUCACUUUGUAGCCCAGGCUGACCUUAAUCUUGCAGUGAUCCUCCUGCCUCAGCCUCUUGAGUACUGGGAUUACAGGUUGCGCAGGGAAGCAAGAGGCACUCGGAGAAGGAAACCCUUGGGUGAGCUGCGUCCUCUGCCCUCCCCUGCCCACAUCGAAACAGGCUCUCAGGACAUCGUGCCAAGCCACAUCCAUACAAAGCCUUUUGGGGUCAGACCGUGCCCGGCAGCCGGGUGUCAGUAACGGGCCACACACGGCACCAGACUGUUUGCAAAGCGGCUUGCAAAGCUGUCACUGAACACAGCAGUGCUGUCACUGAACGCUGCUAGGAUCACGCUAUGGCGCAUUCUCACCUCCUCACCUCCCCGCUCCUCCCUGGAGCCCAUCCAGAUCCUCACAGAGGCUUCAGAGCCCUAGGGUGGCUUCUGCAACCACAGCUGACAUCAGCUUCCCACCCCAGCACCAGGAGUGGGCCAGCAAGCUCUCUUCCCUGUCUGUCUGCUCCAGGAUGUAUAUCAGUGAUUUAUGUCCAGUUACCCUACUGUGGCCAGCCACCUUGACAAGAAAGAAAGUGGCUUAGAAAGCCUACCCUGGAGCUCUCGUCUCUUCUUCCCCUUUAACAGGCAAGGAGCAGCUGAUCUCCACUUCACAGGAAGAGUGUUUCCACAUACACAUUGGCUAGAACAAAGUUGAUACUUCCCAGCCUCCCUUGCCACUGAGUUUGGCCAUGUGACGAAUUUCCCAGCCUCCCUUGCAGCCAAGUUUGCUCAGGUGACCAAUUUCCAAGACUGGAUUGAAAGGAACAGAAAUGAAGGCAGGCAUUGGGUAUUGAGGUCACAUCCUCCUAUGUGCCCAUUCCAGUAAUUGCAGUGUGGAUGUGGGGGAAUCAUCUCUGUCCUACAGGACAAUUUUGGACCAUUCCAUUCCUGGAUGACAGAGCAGCAGAGGAAGGAAGGCUUCACAGGACAGAGGUUCCACACCAGCAUAAGCUUCCACAGGCAGGAAACUUUUUUCUAAAAAACAUGUCUUGCAAUGUAGUUCAGGCUAGGUUUGAACUUACUAUGUAGUCCAGGAUGGCUUUAAAUAUAUUGUGUGUGUUCAGGCUGGCCUUGAAUUUGUGGCAAUCUUCCUGCUUCAGCCUCCCAGUACUGGGAUUACAGGUGUCUGCUGCCAAUGCCAGGCUGUAGGAGACCAUGGCACCACUGUUUUUACACACCCACUUCCACCACACAUAUUUCAUUCCAGUCUUCUCUUUAUGAGCGGGCUGAAGUCUUUCUGACCUCGAGCUUGCCUUGACAGCUCUUGGCUGACUUUGGCAGAAAGGGGCAUCUCUCACAGGCUGUGGGUCGGUGUCAGCUGUCUAUUGCCAUGGCGUCACCACAUAAACAAUCAGGAGACCUAAACGCACAGCAGGGCUGUUGUUCCUGGCCAGUGGGCUCUGCCUUGAUGGGGCGGCCUGAACUGAGCUGGGCUGAUGUCAGCGGGGUCCCCUGAGUGGCAGGGGUUGUGCUGGGUGGCUCACCUCUAGGCCGAGCAGGCUGUUGGUGGAUCCUGUUGGCCUCCACUGGGAUAGUUCAGGCCAACUUGGCUGGGUCCCCUGCUCUCAGUGUCCAGCAGACCAGCCUGGACUUGUCUUCCCAGCAGAGUGAGCCCCGCCCCACAAGCGCCUCUCGCCUCUCGGGCCUCUGCUUGCGUAAUGUUUACUAAAAUCCCAUUGACUUCGAGGGUGAACCUGGAGUCAGAAAGGAGAAUCCGAGGAGGACAGCCCUGAGGGACGCGCCCAAGCCACUGGGAAGGGACUGGAGCCGGCAGCUGGCAUUGAGGCUGCAGUACCGGGCUCUGCUUUCCAGGGUCUGGGGUGGGACAUUGUCCUGACACAGGAGACCCAAACAGGAAUGACGCUGAGUCAGGGGGCAGCAGAGACGCUGUGGCUUCUGGAAUGCGGACUCCUCGCUCGCUCGCUCUCUCUGCUGACUGUCACUUCAGACAUCGCUGCCGCCGCCACGGGCUCCCAGCCGUGGGCUCUGCUGUCCUGGCUCAGGCUUCUGGCUUCCGGCUGCGGGCAGGUGGUCUGGGUCCAGGUUUGGAUUUGGGUUUUUAUCUGCUCCAGGGGGCUCCUAUCCUUCCAGCUCCCCAGGGCAAUGAAAACACCCGAGGUCUCUUAGAGCACUGUCUUUCUUUUUUUUUUUUUUUGUCUUUUUUUCCUUUUUAUCGGUACCGGGGAUCGAACUCACGACUGCCUGCUUGCAAGGCAGGCACUUACGCCGCUGAGCUAAAUCCCCAGCCCCUGAGCACUGUCGAUUUUGCUCAAGUCCACUGGCCAGAGGAAGUCCCACAGGGACAGGGACCCUUGUGCCCGCACGCACUUGGAGGUCUCUUGACAACUGCGAACACCAUGAGUCUCAUUCACUUGGCCUCUGGACCCUGGCCCUGCUGUGCCAUGAGUACCUACAGCAACCCCAGAACUGGCAAAAUGGACAGGCACUGUGCAGAAGGGGAGGACGGGCGUGGGGAUCACGUGGUCCAUCCUGGGUCACGGUCAGGCGUGUGGAAUUCGUUCACUGUGCAGGGGGUCUGCUGAUGAUCAGAUGGUCUUUCGGGAGGCACAGCUAGCUUGGCAUGCUCCUGCUACGCUGUCAACGAGUGUCCCGUCACCUGGAGGGGGACACAGCCUUGCCUGGCACUGGAGGUCCCUAGUGACAGCCCUGCCACAGCAUCACCUGUCACCAUGCCUGGCUUGGCACACUUUGGUUUUCCCACGUAGUUCAGGGUUGAUUCCAGCUUGGAUUCUCCUGCAAGCUGACUCUUCCAGAGACUUGAGUGGAUAUAAUAUUCCUUCCUCUUUUUCUUAGUGUUACUUGUUCUUUCUUUCUUUCUUUUCUUUCUUUCUUUCUUCCUUCCUUCCUUCCUUUCCUCCCUUCCUUUCUUCCUUUCCUUUCUUCCUUUCCUUUCCUCCCUUCCUUCCUUCCUUCCUUCUUUCUUUUCUUUCUUUUUUGGUACUGGGAAUUGAACUUAGGACCUUGCAUGUGCCAGGCAAGCACUUGUGCCCUGAGCUACAUUCCCGGCUUGCUAUUUGUUCUUUAAUGUUGUUAUGGUUUGAUAACUAGUGGUCAACUUAAUGCCAGCUGGAUUACAUCAGCAUGCAUUGAGAGAAGAUGCUCCACCUGAGGAGGGUUGCCAGGAUAAAUAGGUGGAGAAGAAGAGCGGUUUGGAGAGGGAUUGAGGCGUUAAGGAGAUAUUGUGGGUUCUCCUAUGAGUUGCUGUCUGAGCUGUUGGUUCUCCUGGAGAAGCUUUGGUCUUCACAUUGAGCAUUGCUUCCUGGCUCCGGAGGGGAAGACAUGUGCUGCCUGAUUUCCAGGAUGAACUCGUCACGCUGCUUCCUGGCACGUACCCGACUGUGCUUGUCGUCGGAGGAGCUCGGGGCCUCCGUGUCGCUGAGGACAGCUGUGGUUCCAUUCAGGACAGCCCUGCUCUUUGUUGUGAGUGUGACUUCUCGGCUCCAGUGUAGAACCCUCAACCCACCAGCACAGCUCCUUCACCACGCUGACCCUUGGGUCUUCCCGGCACGAAUCCGUAAAAGAGACUGGCGUGAGUCCUUGUGGGCCCUGGACUUCCAGUUGGACUCGUGGAGGCGUUGUCCUGAGCUCUGGGUUUUUAUCUGGACUCAUGUGGGACAUUGCCGUGGGGUUUAGCCUCUUGACUUAUAUAAUGUAUGUCGUUGGUGUUGCGGAUAGAUUUCCUGCAUUCUUCUGUAUUAACUUCCGGUGACCAUUAUAAAUAUAUUAUAAACUCCA